AGGGUUCGAUUCUGGCUCAGGAUGAACGCUGGCGGCGUGCUUAACACAUGCAAGUCGAACGAAGCAACUAUCUUGCUGCAAGAAAGUUGACUUAGUGGCGGACGGGUGAGUAACGCGUGGGUAACCUGCCUCAUACAGGGGGAUAACAGUUGGAAACGACUGCUAAGACCGCGUAACCCGCUAGUGUCGCAUGACACGGACGGAAAAUAUUUAUAGGUACGAGAUGGGCCCGCGUCUGAUUAGCUAGUUGGUAAGGUAACGGCUUACCAAGGCGACGAUCAGUAGCCGACUUGAGAGAGUGAUCGGCCACAUUGGGACUGAGACACGGCCCAAACUCCUACGGGAGGCAGCAGUGGGGAAUAUUGGACAAUGGGGGAAACCCUGAUCCCAGCGACGCCGCGUGAGUGAAGAAGUAUUUCGGUAUGUAAAGCUCUAUCAGCAGGGAAGAUAAUGACAGUACCUGACUAAGAAGCCCCGGCUAACUACGUGCCAGCCGCCGC
RNAcentral lists this ribosomal RNA (500 nucleotides) under uncultured bacterium. RNAcentral's name for it is "bacterial SSU rRNA". It matches the Rfam family "Bacterial small subunit ribosomal RNA", at positions 8 to 518 of the family's 1533-position model. The record is from RNAcentral.